AAUGGUCGUAUCUUUGUCGAUACAAAUCGGAUUGACCUGAUUCCAAAGCCAAAUGAACAAAGACUUCUGGAUCUACAAUUUCUCUGUUUUGGGUUUUCUGAAAUAAUCACUGUAGGAUAGUCGAAAUUGGGUUGGAAGUAACGAACAGAACAGGAAAAGACAGAGACUCCGUUGGUUGCUCUUCUAGGCCUCCAAGGAAGUUGAGGGGCACCGAUUCUUCUAGAUCGAUGACUGCAACUCUUCAAGGAUGCAGAUUUCGAAAGCUCCGACUCUUCAAGGACGGAGUGAAAACUCUUCUAGGUUUUCAAGGUAUGAAUUCUACAAGGUUCAUGAUACUUGCUUCAAGCAAAGUUUUUUCAUUUAUCAAAAGUCAUCAAAAGUUGUCUAUCUUCUACAAGGGAUUGGCUUAUAUCAUCAAAGAAAUAAAAACAGAAUGUUGAAACUAGGAGAAAUAAAGACAAAGCGUUGAAAACUAGGAGAAAUAAAAACGGAGCAUUGAAAAUAGGAGAAAUAGUAAAGAGCAUGGAAACUAUAAACUAGUAAAAGCGUCACGCGAGCUUCCAAGGUGUCUUUCAUGCUUCCGGGAUGGACUCAAGAUGUCGUUAUGGCUUCUCGGUUUCGUCGAGCUUUAAUGCGGGCCGAUCUUCUUGGUCGAGAGAGCCGGUCUUCAAUGUGGGCUGCAUCAUCCUCCCCAUCUUUAAAAGAAUUCAUCCUCGAAUUCUUGCCAGCAUCAUCAGAAGAAUCUCCCACCCUACUAGGUGCCAACGUAAUCUUCUUGCCUCCAAAUUCAAAAGAAUAUGUAUUUCGAUAACCAUCAUGCAUAGUCCUCUUAUCGAAUUGCCAUGGUUGACCAAGAAUAAUGUGACUAGCAUCCAUCGGCAGAACAUCACACCAUAUUUUGUCACUAUAAACAGAACCAAUGGAUAGAUUAACAAGGCAUCGUUUUGAAAUAGUUACCUCAGCACCUAUCUUCAACCACAACAUUUUAUAAGGCGUAGGGUGCGCUUUUAAUUCCAACUUCAGCUUGUUUGCCGCUACUUCAGAAAUUAUAUUCUCACAACAACCAGAGUCAAUAAUUAAUUGACAUACCUUUCCCAUGAUUGUGCAAGCAGAAUGGAAAAUAUUGGUACGCAGCCACCUAUCUCCAGUGUCAUCUCGAGGAGUAGGAAAAUUUUUCCUCACCAUAAGAAGUUCGCCAGUGUCAGCAUGCACUAUUUGUUCAUCAUCCGCAGCUUCUUCAUCAUUUUUCAACUCCUCUUCAAGUGGAUCCUCAGUGUUCUCAUCAGAAUUAUUAUCCACCAAGAAGGCUUUACCGGCUGGUCGAUUCUUAUUGAUUCGACAAUUGCUAGCACGAUGACCCAACUCCCCACAAGAAUAGCAACGUAUUUCAGAUGUAGCAGGUUGCUUCGAAUCAUGAGGUUGAGUAGAAGGCUUACUAGCAGAUUGCUGUCUCCGAGAAUGAGAGCGCUCCAUUUUGAGUGCCCGUUGGUGUGCAUCUCCUAAGUCCCAAAUGUCGAGGACUUCCAAGGCGUCUUGAAUGUAAAAUUGAAGACCGUUCAAGUAUUUGUUCACAAGCACCUCCUCCGGAUCUUGGAUAUUGUUACGAAUCACCAACUCAUUGAAUUCAUUGGUGUAUUGGUCCACCGUUCGCGUACCUUGUUUUAGAUUUUGGUACCGUUGGUAGAGCUCUCUCUUAUAUCCUUUGGGAAGAAAAUAUUUUUGAAUCUUGCCCUCCAUCUUUCUCCACGAAGUGACUUGUGCUUUGCCAACGGCUUGGCGAGUUUGUUUUUCACGUCUCCACCAAGCAAUCGCCUUGCCUCGGAAUCGCAUAGCAAUGAUCCCAACGCGACGAUUCUCCGGAACAUUUCGAUGCUCAAACACCUCAUUCACAAGUGUUAGCCAAUCAACAAUUUCAUCAGGAGACUCAUUACUUGUAAAUUCUGGAACAUCUUUCUUGACUUCUUUUUCCCAAUCUGGCUCACGAAUAUGUUGUAAACGAUGUCGAUCUUGUGUCAUUAAGUCCAAAACUUGAUUUUUUUUUCGUUCAAAUUGGCCCUUCAAUAAAAAUAUGGACAGAGUUGCCGACAUUGCCAUCAAGUUACAUUUAGAAGUGUGGCAUUUAAAAAAGAAAUCAGAAAUAAAGAAUGUUGAGAAGCAAACAAAGUAUAUAAAAAAUAAUAAGGAAUACGGAAAUCUAACCCGGGUAAUGCCUCCGACCAUGAAUAGAUUGAACACUCUCUGAAGAGGAAGAGUCACCAUGGGAAUCUUCAGUCCUGGAACGGGGUGGAGAAUUAUUUGCUUCAGCCCUCAAACGCUGAACUUCUUGCGUCAAUUCAUCAAUUUGUUGUUGCAUAUUCUCAGCGAGUGUGUGCAAUUCAUUGAGGGGAAGGGUUCUGCCGCCACGGCGCCUAGCUUGUCUUGGAGGCAUUGUCCUCUCCUCCAAAGCUCUGAUACCAAAUGAUGCAAGCCUAGGGGAGGCUUUCUCAAACAGUAGGAUCGGGAGAGUGACUUGCACACGGAAACAGGACAAACAGGAAUUUCAGCACUGCACGAGCUCAGGAGAAUGGUCGUAUCUUUGUCGAUACAAAUCGGAUUGACCUGAUUCCAAAGCCAAAUGAACAAAGACUUCUGGAUCUACAAUUUCUCUGUUUUGGGUUUUCUGAAAUAAUCACUGUAGGAUAGUCGAAAUUGGGUUGGAAGUAACGAACAGAACAGGAAAAGACAGAGACUCCGUUGGUUGCUCUUCUAGGCCUCCAAGGAAGUUGAGGGGCACCGAUUCUUCUAGAUCGAUGACUGCAACUCUUCAAGGAUGCAGAUUUCGAAAGCUCUGACUCUUCAAGGACGGAGUGAAAACUCUUCUAGGUUUUCAAGGUAUGAACUCUACAAGGUUCAUGAUACUUGCUUCAAGCAAAGUUUUUUCAUUUAUCAAAAGUCAUCAAAAGUUGUCUGUCUUCUACAAGGGAUUGGCUUAUAUCAUCAAAGAAAUAAAAACAGAAUGUUGAAACUAGGAGAAAUAAAGACAAAGCGUUGAAAACUAGGAGAAAUAAAAACGGAGCAUUGAAAAUAGGAGAAAUAGUAAAGAGCAUGGAAACUAUAAACUAGUAAAAGCGUCACGCGAGCUUCCAAGGUGUCUUUCAAGCUUCCGGGAUGGACUCAAGAUGUCGUUAUGGCUUCUCGGUUUCGUCAAGCUUUAAUGCGGGCCGAUCUUCUUGGUUGAGAGAGCCGGUCUUCAAUGGGGGCUGCAUCACUUUCGGUCCCUCUCCCUUGAAUGAAUU
Molecule: long non-coding RNA, 3275 nt
Filed under: Eucalyptus grandis
Lineage: Eukaryota; Viridiplantae; Streptophyta; Magnoliopsida; Myrtales; Myrtaceae
Description: long non-coding RNA (EGRA_LNC000167)
Source: RNAcentral